Molecule: ribosomal RNA, 531 nt
Filed under: Dermacentor silvarum
Lineage: Eukaryota; Metazoa; Arthropoda; Arachnida; Ixodida; Ixodidae
Description: partial large subunit ribosomal RNA
Source: RNAcentral
UCCGCUUAGAGUAAAACGGGUGGGCCCUCGAAGCUCGAAAGCGGUGGGAUUCAGUCUCCGGACGAUCGCGGAGUCGGCGGCGUCGGGUAAACGGCCCCCUUCGGGGGGCUGUUCUGGCUGCUGGCACGCAGACGCGGUCUCCGGGGUGCGCACUUCCCACCGCCGGUAGAACGCCGCGACGGACGCGGGUCAAUGGGAAAAGUACGACUUUGAGUCCGGCUGUGGAGGUGCCCUGCCCGUCCCUUCGGGGACGGCUCGCGGGGGUUAUACCUCGCCGUGUACGAGAGGUUCGUCACCCCGUCCAGGCCCCAUGGGCUUCUCCCGGUUGUCGGGAGGCCCGAACGAUGACGCCCUCCGGAAACGGAGCGGAGAACCCGCUGGGCAAGCUUGUCGUCUCCUGCUGUCCGGGUUGGUCCCGCGGCGGCGGGUUGGCCGGCGAGAAGCCGCUGCGAGCGGGGCAAUUCUCCCGCGGAGGCGCUAUCGUGGUUUGCGGCGAGUAGGUCGGUAACCCACCCGACCCGUCUUGAAACA